AACGAACGCUGGCGGCAUGCCUAACACAUGCAAGUCGAACGAGACCUUCGGGUCUAGUGGCGCACGGGUGCGUAACGCGUGGGAACCUGCCCUUAGGUUCGGAAUAACUCCCCGAAAGGGGUGCUAAUACCAGAUAAUGUCUUCGGACCAAAGAUUUAUAGCGUUUGGAUGGGCCCGCGUUGGAUUAGCUAGUUGGUAGGGUAAAAGCCUACCAAGGCGACGAUCCAUAGCUGGUCUGAGAGGAUGAUCAGCCACACUGGGACUGAGACACGGCCCAGAAUCCUACGGGAGGCAGCAGUGGGUAAUAUUGGACAAUGGGCGAAAGCCUGAUCCAGCAAUGCCGCGUGAGUGAUGAAGGCCUUAGGGUUGUAAAGCUCUUUUACCCGGGAUGAUAAUGACAGUACCGGGAGAAUAAGCUCCGGCUAACUCCGUG
RNAcentral lists this ribosomal RNA (433 nucleotides) under uncultured bacterium. Its description in RNAcentral is "partial 16S ribosomal RNA". It matches the Rfam family "Bacterial small subunit ribosomal RNA", at positions 29 to 507 of the family's 1533-position model. The record is from RNAcentral.